UUUCUUUUGAAGUAUUUGUCUUAAUCACCUUAAAUCUUGUGUUUGUUCCAUUGCCUCAACCCCUUUUUAUACUACCUUGAUAAACUUUCACUCUCACUUUCCUAAACAAAAAUCCUGAAAGCCUCACUUCAUUCAUUCCUACAAUGGACGAGUUUCAGACACCACUUUCCAUACCAAUAACAAAGCUAACCACCACUAUAUCCACCACUAUAUCCACCACUAUAUCCACCACUAUAUCCACUACUACUUCACGGGUAAACCACUCACAACAAAACAUGGGUCAUCCCUAAAAUGUUCUCUUUUCCAAACUUGGGGCCACAAUUUAUGCAUAUGAACCAGCCUCAUGGUGGAUAUUCCAUGUGUUUCGUUCCAUUGGAGCAAAGCAAUGUUACUAUCUCCAUUAGGCAUAGAUAUGGAAGAGGUUUACGACAAAGAUGUAGAAGAUAUUACCCACUACUAAAGGAGCUGUGUGUUUCACUGGCUCAUACAAUUAAAGAACUCUUUGUCCAAAUCUUUGCACCUCACAAAAGCCAUAUUUUUUUUUGCUUCCUAACCACCUGCACCAUCAAGUUUGUUAUUUUCCCAUCUUUGUAUUAAUUUAUAGAUUUUUUUAUUUAUUUAUGUCUGCAAACCUAUUAGGAAAUAACAAUAGGCCACAAAACUAACUUGAGUCCUAAUUAUCAUUACAUAUAAUGUUAUAAAGUGUGACUAAAUAAGUAAUUUUAUGGGAAGAAGGUUUACGGCCAAUACUGACUCAAAGCUAUUAGUUCCAUAUAAAAAAUAAUUAAAAAUGAUUUUAUCUCCUAAAUGAAUUUUAUGGUUUUUUUAUAGUAAG
RNAcentral lists this long non-coding RNA (835 nucleotides) under Lupinus angustifolius (narrow-leaved blue lupine). RNAcentral's name for it is "long non-coding RNA (LANG_LNC003736)". The record is from RNAcentral. Lineage: Eukaryota; Viridiplantae; Streptophyta; Magnoliopsida; Fabales; Fabaceae.